Molecule: ribosomal RNA, 406 nt
Filed under: uncultured bacterium
Lineage: Bacteria
Description: partial 16S ribosomal RNA
Rfam family: Bacterial small subunit ribosomal RNA
Source: RNAcentral
AUUGAACGCUGGCGGCAGGCCUAACACAUGAAAGUCGAACGAGUGGCGGACGGGAGAGUAAUGUCUGGACAACUGCCUGAUGGAGGGGGAUACCUCCUGGAAACGGUCGCUACUACCUCAUACCAUCAGAUGUGCCCAGAUGGGAUGAUCUAGUAGGUGGGGUAAUGGCACACCGCGGCGACGAUCCCUAUCUGGUCUGAGAGGAGGACCAGCCACACUGUAACUGAGACACGGUCCAGACUCCUACGGGAGGCAGCAGUGGGGAAUAUUGCACAAUGGGCGCAAGCCUGAUGCAGCCAUGCCGCGUGUGUGAAGAAGGCCUUCGGGUUUUAAAGCACUUUCAGCGAGGAGGCGUUACUCGCAGAAGAAGCACCGGCUAACUCCGUGCCAGCAGCCGCGGUAAUAC